RNAcentral lists this ribosomal RNA (253 nucleotides) under uncultured bacterium. Its description in RNAcentral is "partial 16S ribosomal RNA". It matches the Rfam family "Bacterial small subunit ribosomal RNA", at positions 524 to 776 of the family's 1533-position model. The record is from RNAcentral.
UACGUAGGUGGCAAGCGUUGUCCGGAUUUACUGGGCGUAAAGGGCGUGCAGGCGGUUUGUUAAGUGCAGGGUGAAAGCCCCGGGCUCAACCUGGGAACGGCGCGCGAAACGGGGGGGCUUGAGUUCGGGAGAGGAGAGUGGAAUUCCCAGUGUAGAGGUGAAAUUCGUAGAUAUCGGGAGGAACACCGGUGGCGAAGGCGGCGACCUGGGUAGAUACUGACGCUGAGACGCGAAAGCGUGGGGAGCGAACAGG